This 804-nucleotide ribosomal RNA is filed under the name uncultured bacterium. RNAcentral's name for it is "bacterial SSU rRNA". It matches the Rfam family "Bacterial small subunit ribosomal RNA", at positions 8 to 796 of the family's 1533-position model. The record is from RNAcentral.
AGAGUUUGAUCAUGGCUCAGAAUCAACGCUGGCGGCGUGCCUCAGACAUGCAAGUCGAACGAGAACCUCCCUUCGGGGAGGGGAAAGUGGCGCACGGGUGAGUAACACGUGGGUAAUUUACCUUUGGGUGGGGAACAACAGCCGGAAACGGCUGCUAAUACCGCAUAAUGCAGCGGCUCGACAUCGAGACAGUUGUUAAAGCGGGGGAUCGCAAGACCUCGCGCCUAAAGAGAAGCCCGCGGCAGAUUAGCUAGUUGGUAGGGUAAUGGCCUACCAAGGCAACGAUCUGUAACCGGCCUGAGAGGGCGGUCGGUCACACUGACACUGACAUACGGGUCAGACUCCUACGGGAGGCAGCAGUCGGGAAUUUUGGGCAAUGGGCGAAAGCCUGACCCAGCAACGCCGCGUGAAGGAUGAAGCUUUUCGGAGUGUAAACUUCACAAGAAUGGGAAGAAUAAGUGUGGGAUAAUACCCUUCACGAUGACGGUACCAUUUGUAAGCUCCGGCUAACUCCGUGCCAGCAGCCGCGGUAAUACGGGGGGAGCAAGCGUUGUUCGGAUUUACUGGGCGUAAAGGGCGCGUAGGCGGCGCGACAAGUCACUUGUGAAAUCUCUGGGCUCAACCCAGAACGGUCAAGUGAUACUGUCGUGCUAGAGUGCGGAAGGGGCAACUGGAAUUCUUGGUGUAGCGGUGAAAUGCGUAGAUAUCAAGAGGAACACCUGCGGCGAAGCGGGUUGCUGGGCCGACACUGACGCUGAGCGCGAAAGCUAGGGGAGCGAACGGGAUUAGAUACCCUAGUAGUCC